GGUGGAUGUGAUAAACAAAAAGCGCCUCAAUGACUUUUGAAACUUGCUUCCAAUG
Molecule: ribosomal RNA, 55 nt
Filed under: Craterellus cinereus
Lineage: Eukaryota; Fungi; Basidiomycota; Agaricomycetes; Cantharellales; Hydnaceae
Description: partial 25S ribosomal RNA
Source: RNAcentral